This 63-nucleotide small nuclear RNA is filed under the name Echinops telfairi (small Madagascar hedgehog). Its description in RNAcentral is "U7 small nuclear RNA (ENSETEG00000024835.1)". It matches the Rfam family "U7 small nuclear RNA". From Rfam's summary of the family: Animal histone pre-mRNAs are spliced by a different mechanism than nuclear pre-mRNAs and self-splicing introns. This processing involves the U7 snRNP, which contains only one RNA species: U7. Lineage: Eukaryota; Metazoa; Chordata; Mammalia; Afrosoricida; Tenrecidae. The record is from RNAcentral.
UAGUAUUACAGCUCUUUUAGAAUUUGUCUAGCAGGUUUUCUGUUUCUUUUCCGGAAAACCCAC